ACUCCUACGGGAGGCAGCAGUGGGGAAUAUUGCACAAUGGGCGCAAGCCUGAUGCAGCCAUGCCGCGUGUAUGAAGAAGGCCUUCGGGUUGUAAAGUACUUUCAGCAGUGAGGAAGGCGGGUGUGUUAAUAGCACAUUCGUUUGACGUUAGCUGCAGAAGAAGCACCGGCUAACUCCGUGCCAGCAGCCGCGGUAAUACGGAGGGUGCGAGCGUUAAUCGGAAUUACUGGGCGUAAAGCGCAUGCAGGUGGUUUGUUAAGUCAGAUGUGAAAGCCCGGGGCUCAACCUCGGAAUUGCAUUUGAAACUGGCAGACUAGAGUACUGUAGAGGGGGGUAGAAUUUCAGGUGUAGCGGUGAAAUGCGUAGAGAUCUGAAGGAAUACCGGUGGCGAAGGCGGCCCCCUGGACAGAUACUGACACUCAGAUGCGAAAGCGUGGGGAGCAAACAGGAUUAGAUACCCUGGUA
This 465-nucleotide ribosomal RNA is filed under the name uncultured bacterium. RNAcentral describes it as "bacterial SSU rRNA". It matches the Rfam family "Bacterial small subunit ribosomal RNA", at positions 335 to 792 of the family's 1533-position model. The record is from RNAcentral.